CCUACGGGGGGCUGCAGUGGGGAAUAUUGGACAAUGGGCGCAAGCCUGAUCCAGCCAUGCCGCGUGAGUGAUGAAGGCCCUAGGGUUGUAAAGCUCUUUUGUGCGGGAAGAUAAUGACUGUACCGCAAGAAUAAGCCCCGGCUAACUUCGUGCCAGCAGCCGCGGUAAUACGAAGGGGGCUAGCGUUGCUCGGAAUCACUGGGCGUAAAGCGCACGUAGGCGGACUCUUAAGUCGGUGGUGAAAUCCUGGAGCUCAACUCCAGAACUGCCUUCGAUACUGGGAGUCUCGAGUUCGGGAGAGGUGAGUGGAACUGCGAGUGUAGAGGUGAAAUUCGUAGAUAUUCGCAAGAACACCAGUGGCGAAGGCGGCUCACUGGCCCGAUACUGACGCUGAGGUGCGAAAGCGUGGGGAGCAAACAGGAUUAGAUACCCUAGUAGUC
This 440-nucleotide ribosomal RNA is filed under the name uncultured Rhodoplanes sp. Its description in RNAcentral is "bacterial SSU rRNA". It matches the Rfam family "Bacterial small subunit ribosomal RNA", at positions 338 to 795 of the family's 1533-position model. The record is from RNAcentral. Lineage: Bacteria; Pseudomonadati; Pseudomonadota; Alphaproteobacteria; Hyphomicrobiales; Nitrobacteraceae.